ACCACAAAGCUAGCCAGACCAAAUCACUAACAUACACCUAUUAACUAAUAUACAAAACUUAACACCCAUAAUUAAAACAUUCCGUCCAUCCUAGUAUAGGCGAUAGAACAGAAACACCUGAGCCAUAGAAGUAGUACCGCAAGGGAAGGCUGAAAAAGAAAUGAAACAAACCAUUAAAGUACAAAAAAGCAGAGACUCACCCUCGUACCUUUCGCAUCAUGAUUUAGCAAGAACAAUCAGGCAAAACGAUUUUCAGCCUAACUUCCCGAAACCAAGCGAGCUACUUCGGAGCAGCACAUUAGAGCCAACCCGUCUCUGUGGCAAAAGAGUGGGAAGACUCCCAAGUAGAGGUGACAAACCUACCGAGCUGGGUGAUAGCUGGUUAUCCAAGAAAAGAACUUAAAUUCUGCAUUAAUACUUCAACAGGGUAUCCAAAACCCUUUUACUAAACCCUGCUGUAAACAUUAAUAGUUAUUCAAAAAAGGUACAGCUUUCUUGAACUAAGAAACAACUUUCCAAGGUGGGUAAAGAUUAAACAAGGACUAUCCCUCAGUGGGCCCAAAAGCAGCCACCUGUCAAGCAAGCGUUACAGCUCAAGCAUAACCCAAACCCAAAAAUCCCCAUAUUCAACUCACAACCCCCUCAAAACUAUUGGAUUAUUUUAUUCAACUAUAUAAAAGAAAUUAUGCUAAAAUGAGUAAUAAGGGAAUUAACUCCCUCCCACACACCAGUGUAAGUCAGAAAGAAUUAAAUCACUGACAAUUAUCCGGUGUCAAACUGAGACCAUCAUAAACCAAAAUACAUAACAAGAAAAACUCAUUUAAACCACCGUUAACCCAACACAGGAGUGUCCCCGGGAAAGAUUAAAAGAAAAUAAAGGAAUUCAGCAAACACAAACUCCGCCUGUUUACCAAAAACAUCGCCUCUUGCCCACAAACCCGUAUAAGAGGUCUCGCCUGCCCUGUGACUCAUUCAACGGCCGCGGUAUCUUGACCGUGCGAAGGUAGCGUAAUCACUCGUCUUUUAAUUGAAGGCUCGUAUGAACGGCAUAACGAGAGUUUACCUGUCUCUAUUUUCCAAUCAAUGAAAUUGAUCUCCUCGUGCAGAAGCGAGAAUAAAAACAUAAGACGAGAAGACCCUAUGGAGCUUUAAACACUUAAGUUACCCUUAAACACCCCCAAAUACCUCUACGGACCUAAACCCACAAUUAACCCCUAACUUAACCUGUUUUUGGUUGGGGCGACCGAGGGGAAAAACAAAACCCCCUCAUCGAAUCCGUGAUCACCACUAAAAUUAGAACCACUAUUCUAAUUAAUAGAACAUCUAACGAACAAUGACCCAGAAGAACCCUUCUGAUCAAUGGACCAAGUUACCCUAGGGAUAACAGCGCAAUCCUUUCCAAGAGCCCUAAUCACCGAAAGGGUUUACGACCUCGAUGUUGGAUCAGGACAUCCUAAUGGUGCAGCAGCUAUUAAGGGUUCGUUUGUUCAACGAUUAAAGUCCCACGUGAUCUGAGUUCAGACCGGAGCAAUCCAGGUCAGUUUCUAUCUAUGAAGGCAUUUUUCCCAGUACGAAAGGACCGGAAAAAUAAAGCCCAUGCUCCCUAAGCAUGCUUUAUUCCCAACCUGUUGAAACCAACUCAAACAGGCAAAAGAUGCCACCACAAAACCAAAGACAAUGGUUU
Molecule: ribosomal RNA, 1684 nt
Filed under: Potamotrygon falkneri (largespot river stingray)
Lineage: Eukaryota; Metazoa; Chordata; Chondrichthyes; Myliobatiformes; Potamotrygonidae
Description: 16S ribosomal RNA
Rfam family: Bacterial large subunit ribosomal RNA
Source: RNAcentral